ACAAGUUUUUGUUCAACAUCUGAAGACGAGCAGUAAAAUCCUCCCGACGCAAUAAUGAAUGCCAAAGCCGUACUGAUUGCUCUGGUGGCUUGCGCCUUAUUAGUAGGCGGCACCGAGGCGUGCGGUGGCGAAGGCCGCUCCGAGUCUGGUCGCUGCGGUGGCAGCGAAGGGCGCAGCGAGCACGGGGAAGCCGAGGCACGCCAGGAGAGCGAGACUGCCCGCUGUGGUGGAAGUUCUGGUCGUUGCGAUGGCUAGUCAUGCCCCAAUAAACUUCAUCAACAUGCCAUCGCGGCUGUUUGCUGCAGGAAUUGCUUUGGAAGCAAGAGCCAUCUUGAUCACGAGAGCUUCAAAUAAUUGUUAGACCUAAUAAAGGUGUUCAAUAUUGCA
Molecule: long non-coding RNA, 387 nt
Organism: Rhipicephalus microplus (southern cattle tick)
Lineage: Eukaryota; Metazoa; Arthropoda; Arachnida; Ixodida; Ixodidae
Source: RefSeq, a predicted model, not a curated record